GACGAACGCUGGCGGCGUGCUUAACACAUGCAAGUCGAACGGAAAGGCCCUGCUUUUGUGGGGUGCUCGAGUGGCGAACGGGUGAGUAACACGUGAGUAACCUGCCCUUGACUUUGGGAUAACUUCAGGAAACUGGGGCUAAUACCGGAUAGGAGCUCCUGCUGCAUGGUGGGGGUUGGAAAGUUUCGGCGGUUGGGGAUGGACUCGCGGCUUAUCAGCUUGUUGGUGGGGUAGUGGCUUACCAAGGCUUUGACGGGUAGCCGGCCUGAGAGGGUGACCGGCCACAUUGGGACUGAGAUACGGCCCAGACUCCUACGGGAGGCAGCAGUGGGGAAUAUUGCAGAAUGGGCGGGAGCCUGAUGCAGCAACGCCGCGUGCGGGAUGACGGCCUUCGGGUUGUAAACCGCUUUCGCCUGUGACGAAGCGUGAGUGACGGUAAUGGGUAAAGAAGCACCGGCUAACUACGUG
RNAcentral lists this ribosomal RNA (468 nucleotides) under uncultured bacterium. Its description in RNAcentral is "partial 16S ribosomal RNA". It matches the Rfam family "Bacterial small subunit ribosomal RNA", at positions 28 to 507 of the family's 1533-position model. The record is from RNAcentral.